Long non-coding RNA from Xenia sp. Carnegie-2017, 815 nucleotides. RefSeq lists it as uncharacterized. The record is from RefSeq and is a predicted model, not a curated record. The transcript is spliced from 2 exons. NCBI's taxonomy places the organism in Eukaryota, Metazoa, Cnidaria, Anthozoa, Malacalcyonacea, Xeniidae.
GACUGAAUAUGAUUUAAGUUGUUUGCAUCUCUUGAAAUUGCAAUCUUUGGUGUUUCAGUACUCCAAAGUUUCAUAAUAUUCGUUUAAAGUUUUACCUGUCGCCAUCUUGUUUUAUUUGUGAGCUCUGGUAGGAACAAAGAGUCUCUUAUGGCAUUUGCGUCUGAUUAUUGGAGUACUUAUUUAUCACCACAGCUCUCUGGUUUGUCCUUCUUGUAUGUAACCAGCAAUACUAAGUGCAUUCGGCUGACUCCAGUAAAUCAGCAAGUGAUCCAGUUAUUCCAGAAAAUAUUCCUGAGCUUGAAAGUAACCAUAAAGAAGUAGAUACUCACCUGCUACUUCAUGCAAAGCAUGCAGCGCAAACCUAUCAUCAUCUUAUCGUCAAAACCCCCUAUAGGGUUGUUUUUUUUUAAUUUGUACUGCCACGCAGAAGAAAGUUGGUAAUCUUUAUUUAUUGACGGGAACUGGUAAAAAAUUUCGAGCCAUAAAUAUCACAUCAUUGUCAGAUAGACUCGGAGAGGAUUUGUGGCAAUGCUUACCGUCAUUUCAUGCAUUUACAGGCUGCGGUUCUACGAGUGCCUUAACGGGAAAGGGAAGCCUUGGAAGGUACUUCAUGAUAACCCUGAGCUUAUCGAAACAUCUGGCAAGUGUUCUGACGAAUGCCUUCCCCCAAAGGCAGAUAGCCUGCUUCGCACAUUAAGAGAGCCAACUACCAAGCAGCCAUCUGGAGGAAUUGUGUUACUAUCAAGUCGUCAUACAACUUAAGAAUAAACCAAAUUACAAAUUUAUUAUUUUCAAAUUAUUAUCUUUGUUUUCAA